RNAcentral lists this long non-coding RNA (271 nucleotides) under Musa acuminata (dwarf banana). Its description in RNAcentral is "long non-coding RNA (MACU_LNC005433)". Lineage: Eukaryota; Viridiplantae; Streptophyta; Magnoliopsida; Zingiberales; Musaceae. The record is from RNAcentral.
GUCUCAAGUUCCUUUGGAAUAUCACACACAGCUCUUUCAAUGGUCCAUCAGCCAACAAUCAGCAAGAAACCUGUUGAUAGUGUCAUGUAAAGCAAUUGGCAACCUGUUGAUAGUGUCAUGUACAACAGGAGUGCAUUUGGAAUCUAAAAAAGAAGGAUGAAUAACCUGAUGUCAUAUUGCAUCUCAAACGGUUGGUAAAACUCAUCUGUCAAAUCAUAUAUAUAUAUAUAUAUAUAUAUAUAUAUAUAUAUAUAUAUAUAUAUAUAUAUNN